AGCAGCCGCGGUAAUUCCAGCUCCAAUAGCGUAUAUUAAAGUUGUUGCAGUUAAAAAGCUCGUAGUUGAAUUUCGGGGUCAGUAGGUUGGUCGUGCCACCGGUACGUACUGGUCUCACUGAUUCCUCCUUCCUGAUGAGCUGUAAUGCCAUUAAUUUGGUGUUGCAGGGAAUCUGGACUGUUACUUUGAAAAAAUUAGAGUGUUUAAAGCAGGCUAACGCUUGAAUACAUUAGCAUGGAAUAAUGAAAUAGGACGUUCGAUCCUAUUUUGUUGGUUUCUAGGAUUGACGUAAUGAUUAAUAGGGAUAGUUGGGGGCAUUAGUAUUCAAUUGUCAGAGGUGAAAUUCUUGGAUUUAUUGAAGACUAACUACUGCGAAAGCAUUUGCCAAGGAUGUUUUCAUUAAUCAAGAACGAAAGUUAGGGGAUCGAAGAUCGAUCAGAUACCGUCGUAGUCUUAACCAUAAACUAUGCCGACUAGGGAUCGGAUGA
Molecule: ribosomal RNA, 488 nt
Filed under: uncultured Glomus
Lineage: Eukaryota; Fungi; Glomeromycota; Glomeromycetes; Glomerales; Glomeraceae
Description: SSU rRNA
Rfam family: Eukaryotic small subunit ribosomal RNA
Source: RNAcentral